UUCUGCAACAGUCGAAGUUCAUGGUAUCCAAUUAUGCAAACUACGAAUAUCUUACAUUUUUAACUGGAAUCAUACAAUUUCUGUUAUGUGGAACGUAUACUUUUUCUGUGCAAAACUAUAAUUUUUCUUCAUCCGUUUUAUUAUACUGUCCGAAAAAGUAUCACUGCCAAUCAAUUAAAGUAGCGGGAAAUGUAUUUAAAUGUAUUAUUCUAUUAAAUUAUGAAACUGACUAUUUUAAAUAAUAGUAUCGAACUAAAAGAUCUAAUUUGUUAAUAAAAAGCGUGUUACAUCUUGAUUUACGAUAGUUUUCUCGUUCUACGUAUAGUUACUUUGAAUUUGUGAUGUUGGCAAACAAUGUUUGGUAAUUUUUAUUAUAUUAACGGCCAGCUGUUAUCUGACAGCGUAUUAUUUAUUUUUACACACCCUUGGAGUACAUACGUUGCUCUGAACAUGAAAAUAGCAUUAGCCCAGUUACGUACUGCCAUGCCCUGCUUUCGCGUAGCAUUUCUAUAAGUGCGUGGUGACGUUUUAUCAUCAAAUAUGAUUGGACGUGUCAGCCGAGUGUAUUGCAAUCGUGUGUAUGAAAGAAAAAUAACAUUAUUUAGUUGGAAGCAAGUAUAUAGCAUACCGCACGUAUCUUGGCUGAAAGUAAUAUAUCAACAAUAUUCGACGACAUCCAGUUAUCAUCAAGCUUUCAAUUUCCCUUUCCAAAAGAGUAUGGAUAUCUUUCGAAUCAGUGAUUAUGAUUGUGUUGGGUUUGACCUGGAUAAUACAUUGUUGCGUUACAAUAUUAAUAAUAUGGUAAAUUUAGAAUAUGAAACAUUAUCUAAGUUUCUUGUAGAAAAAAAAGGAUAUGAUCCAAAGUAUCUACGUAAGCCUUUAAGUGAUCAUGAUCUUGACUUCAUGCAGAGAGGACUUAUGUUAGACUUUGACAGAGGGAAUAUUAUAAGGAUAAGCUCUAGUGGAAUGAUUCUCAGAGCUAGUCAUGGUACUAAACUAUUGAACAAUGAAGAGAUAAGAAUGGCCUAUCCUGAUCAAAGGUGGUACGUUACUGAUGCAUUCAGUAAGGAUCCACUUGCUACAUGGAAUGGUCCAUUAUCGUUGAAAAUGAGGACAGUAUUGGAUUAUUUUGAUAUGCCUGCUUCUUUAGUUUUUGCCAAAGCUGUUGAUACACUAGAUGAAAAAAAUGAAGGACCGUUAGAUAUGUACCAAAUUUGGCCUGACGUAUUAGAUGGUUUAAUCGAUAUGUUUGAUAGAGACCAUUUUCAAACUGGAGAAGGGUACUAUUUUAAAAUACUGAAAGAAAAUCCAGCAACCUAUCUCCAUAAAUGUAGCACUCAAACUGUAUCCUGGCUCAGAGAAAUAAAGAAAAGGCAAAAAACUUUCUUAAUCACUGGAUCAAAUGUAGAUUUUGCAGAUUUUACUGCAAGUUACACAUUUGGUGAUGACUGGCGAUCACUUUUUGAUAUUGUUAUUUGUUUUGCUAAAAAACCUGGAUUUUUUAUUAGCAAUAAACCGUUUCUUAAGAUCAUGGAUUAUAAAGAAAUUGGAAGUGUAACGUGUGAUGUGAUGAAACAAGGCGAAAUAUAUAACCAGGGAAAUUGGAAUGAUCUCCAUGAAUUUUUCGGUAGAAGUAUUGGUCAGAACGAUUUACGUUUCUUAUAUUUUGGCGAUAAUCUUGUGCAAGACAUCUAUACUCCAUGUGCAAAAGUUAAUUGUCAUACAGUGGCUGUCAUUGAUGAACAAAUGGCAGAAGGAAUGGUGCAUCAGAAAGAUGUUCAUCCUGAUGAAAAUGCAAUUAAUUCAAAAUUUUGGGGUUCAUAUUUUUGUUUGAAAGAUAGCACAACAAUGACUCAUGUGCAUUCUAUAUGGAGCCACAUUAUACAAAAUUACGCAAAGAUAUGUAUACCAACAAUAGACAUGAUUUCAUCAAAGCCAUUAGAUGAACCACUAAAAUCUUUCUCCACAAGCAAUAAAAACCUCUGUGGAUAUCAUCCAGAAAAACCACUUAGUAUAUCUACAUUUUAAUUUUAUAAUAAUUUAACUGCAUAUGUGAAGCAAGCUUUACAUUUGUUUCUAUUAUAUAAGUGAAGGAUACUAUAUAUAUGUAAUUCUUUUGAUAAGUACAAGCGUAGUUUAUGUAAAUUAAAACGUUCGUUAGUUAGUAUUGUGUACUAAUACGAACCACAGUAAUAUUAGAAAUAGGUAUAGAAUAAUAAAGAAAUAUUAGUAUAUUAGGUACUUUUAUAAAUUACUUCAGAAUGAAAUUUUUAAUUUUUGCCAGUGUUAGCAUUGAAGUUGUGCAGUACUUCGAUAAUACUAUUAUGCUCAAUUACUAUGGAUUUGCUCAUCAACAUUAUUGUUCCAAUAUACCGAUUAUGCCUGCUAUUAAGAAGCAGUUACAACAGCACAAAGGCCUUCCUCGAGAUGAUAAAAGUGUAAAACCUACGUUUAAAACGAAACGGGCACAGAAUAGACAUCACGAAGGUAUGAUGGCUGUACAGCAUAUUAUGAAGAGUCGAAAUCAAAAGAAAUCUGAAGACGAAGACGAAGAUAGUGCAGUCAAUUAAGUUUCAGGGCCACAGGUAUGGCCUCACAGUAAAAUGUGUUAAAUUUUUUAUAAUGUGCGCAUUUGUUCCUUUACGUUGCAAUGAAAUAUUGUGAAUUGUUAAUGAAUAUAUCAAUUAAAUUAAAAUUGUAUACCCCCUUAAAUCUUUGUGUCGAAUUAUAAGAUCUACUGUUUAAGCUGAUUAGGAAAGGAAACUCUCUCAUGAGGAAUAUUGUACAUUGCACAUCAGUCGAUAAAUAUUUUGAAAUACAUAGAUUUAUUUCUGUA
Cephus cinctus (wheat stem sawfly) is the source of this 2836-nucleotide RNA transcript. It is a transcript of the gene named U7 snRNA-associated Sm-like protein LSm10, with no coding region annotated. NCBI's taxonomy places the organism in Eukaryota, Metazoa, Arthropoda, Insecta, Hymenoptera, Cephidae. The record is from RefSeq and is a predicted model, not a curated record. The transcript has 2 exons.